RNAcentral lists this non-coding RNA (21 nucleotides) under Caenorhabditis elegans. Lineage: Eukaryota; Metazoa; Nematoda; Chromadorea; Rhabditida; Rhabditidae. The record is from RNAcentral.
UAGUUUCAUCACAUCUAUAGA